Long non-coding RNA from Stegostoma tigrinum, 605 nucleotides. RefSeq lists it as uncharacterized. Lineage: Eukaryota; Metazoa; Chordata; Chondrichthyes; Orectolobiformes; Stegostomatidae. The transcript is spliced from 3 exons. The record is from RefSeq and is a predicted model, not a curated record.
CAGAGCAAUUCAGAAGAAGAGACAUACUGGACUUGAAACAUAACUCUGUUUCUCUCUUCACAGAUGCUGCCAGAGAUGCUGAGCUUCUCCAGCAUCUUCUGUUUUGAUUCCACCUGCAUUCUGUCUAUGAUGGCUGACCUAAUUGUUUGGUUUUGCAGUGCUCACUUCUUAGCAGCUUCUAUGAAAAGUAAUCAUGUGUGCAUGAAAUAUUGGAGGGCUUCUGCCUUAAUGAACUUGGAUACCAGCUUGAAGCCUUCAUGGAAGGACAGAUGUUCCAGGGAUGAGCUCAGAGCUAGGCACAUGGCAUCUUGUGGAUCUGUUAUGUCGGUAGGCAAAUUGGAGGGGAUUGAGGCCGGCUGUGAGAUCGGAGUUGAUGUGGGUCAUGACCAGCCUCUCGAAGCACUUCGCGAUUAUUGAGCUACAGGAAAAAUACCAGUGAAAUGGAAUGGACCUGAAACUCCAAUCAUGACUUGAUCACAUCAAUAAGAUUUUAUCUUUCCAGAAGAUUGGGUUAUCAUUUUCUCAAACUUGUGACAUAAACUGGAUUGUUUUAUCCCAAAGGAAAAUCCAUUUAAUACACAGCAAAAUGAGAAAAAAAAUCAUGU